UGGGGAAUAUUGCACAAUGGAGGGAACUCUGAUGCAGCGACGCCGCGUGAGUGAUGAAGGAAUUCGUUUCGUAAAACUCUGUUCUAUGGGAAGAAAAGGACUGUACCAUAGGAGAAAGCUCCGGCUAAAUACGUGCCAGCAGCCGCGGUAAUACGUAGGGUGCGAGCGUUGUCCGGAAUUACUGGGCGUAAAGAGCUCGUAGGUGGUUUGUCGCGUCGUCUGUGAAAUCCCGGGGCUUAACUUCGGGCGUGCAGGCGAUACGGGCAUAACUUGAGUGCUGUAGGGGAGACUGGAAUUCCUGGUGUAGCGGUGAAAUGCGCAGAUAUCAGGAGGAACACCAAUGGCGAAGGCAGGUCUCUGGGCAGUAACUGACGCUGAGGAGCGAAAGCAUGGGUAGCGAACAGG
Molecule: ribosomal RNA, 405 nt
Filed under: Fusobacteriota bacterium
Lineage: Bacteria; Fusobacteriati; Fusobacteriota
Description: Fusobacteria bacterium partial 16S ribosomal RNA
Rfam family: Bacterial small subunit ribosomal RNA
Source: RNAcentral